GUGCCUCCGGGACGCAGCAGUGGGGAAUAUUGCACAAUGGGGGAAACCCUGAUGCAGCAACGCCGCGUGAGUGAAGAAGUAUUUCGGUAUGUAAAGCUCUAUCAGCAGGGAAGAAGAAAGACGGUACCUGACUAAGAAGCCCCGGCUAACUACGUGCCAGCAGCCGCGGUAAUACGUAGGGAGCAAGCGUUAUCCGGAUUUACUGGGUGUAAAGGGCGUGUAGGCGGGCAUGCAAGCCAGAAGUGAAAUCUGGGGGCUUAACCCCCAAACUGCUUUUGGAACUGCGUGUCUU
Molecule: ribosomal RNA, 292 nt
Filed under: uncultured bacterium
Lineage: Bacteria
Description: partial 16S ribosomal RNA
Rfam family: Bacterial small subunit ribosomal RNA
Source: RNAcentral